This 1306-nucleotide long non-coding RNA is filed under the name Homo sapiens (human). RNAcentral's name for it is "non-protein coding lnc-PLA2G2E-1:1". The record is from RNAcentral. Lineage: Eukaryota; Metazoa; Chordata; Mammalia; Primates; Hominidae.
CGGCCUGGGGAUACAACUCUGGAGUCCUCUGAGAGAGCCACCAAGGAGGAGCAGGGGAGCGACGGCCGGGGCAGAAGUUGAGACCACCCAGCAGAGGAGCUAGGCCAGUCCAUCUGCAUUUGUCACCCAAGAACUCUUACCAUGAAGACCCUCCUACUGUUGGCAGUGAUCAUGAUCUUUGGUAAGAGCUGACCCUGACCUCUGAGCAUGGGGGGACAGCCCCAGAAGGGAAGCACUCUUGUCCCUUAGUUUUCUCUCCCAUUGCAGUGAUCCUCUCUCAGGGGGAAAAAAGAAGCCAUUUGGGAGGAAGGAGAGUAGCAGAGAGGGGCAGAGAGGGAGGGCGCAGAACCCCAUGCCCCAUCACCAGACAACUCCCAAAUUUCCUUCCAGGCCUACUGCAGGCCCAUGGGAAUUUGGUGAAUUUCCACAGAAUGAUCAAGUUGACGACAGGAAAGGAAGCCGCACUCAGUUAUGGCUUCUACGGCUGCCACUGUGGCGUGGGUGGCAGAGGAUCCCCCAAGGAUGCAACGGAUCGGUGAGGCCACCUAUCCCUCCCUACCCUCCUAGACUCUGGCCCAGGCAGGGCUGGGAGCUGCAAAGACAGUGCCGGUUCCUGAUGGGCGCAGAGGUCUCAGGAUGGCCUGGCUGGAAAAGCAGCCGGCAUGUUGGAACUUCUGCUCUAGACUGUUGCAAAGUCACUGGGUCUCUGCCCAGGGUCCAAGGGGGUGAGACCACAGGCACCAGGCCUCCUGGAGCUGUGGGACAAGAGCCCCAACAGGGUGUCUCCUCACAGCUGCUGUGUCACUCAUGACUGUUGCUACAAACGUCUGGAGAAACGUGGAUGUGGCACCAAAUUUCUGAGCUACAAGUUUAGCAACUCGGGGAGCAGAAUCACCUGUGCAAAACAGGACUCCUGCAGAAGUCAACUGUGUGAGUGUGAUAAGGCUGCUGCCACCUGUUUUGCUAGAAACAAGACGACCUACAAUAAAAAGUACCAGUACUAUUCCAAUAAACACUGCAGAGGGAGCACCCCUCGUUGCUGAGUCCCCUCUUCCCUGGAAACCUUCCACCCAGUGCUGAAUUUCCCUCUCUCAUACCCUCCCUCCCUACCCUAACCAAGUUCCUUGGCCAUGCAGAAAGCAUCCCUCACCCAUCCUAGAGGCCAGGCAGGAGCCCUUCUAUACCCACCCAGAAUGAGACAUCCAGCAGAUUUCCAGCCUUCUACUGCUCUCCUCCACCUCAACUCCGUGCUUAACCAAAGAAGCUGUACUCCGGGGGGUCUCUUCUGAAUAAAGCAAUUAGCAAA